UCCCAUAUGGGUGCCGGUUCUAGUCCCUGCUGCUCCUCUUCCGAUCCAGCUCUCUGCUGUGGCCUGGGAAAGCAGUAGAGGAUGACCCAAGUCCUUGGGCCCCUGCACCCAUGUGGGAGGCCUGGAAGAAGUUGCUGGUUCCUGGCUUUGGAUCGGCACAGCUCCGGCUGUUGCAGCCAUCCUGGGAAUGAACCAGCCGAUGGAAAACCUCUCUCUCUGUCUCAACCUCUAUCUGUAACUUUGUCUUUCAAAUAACUGAAAUAAAUCUUUAAAAAAAGAUUUUGAAAGGAAAGAGAGAGUCAGAGAGAAUCUUCUAUCUGCAAGUUUACUCCCCAAAUGGCCACCACAGCCAGGGCUGGGCCAGGUUGAACCCAGGAGCCUGGAGCUCCUUCUGGGUCUCCCAUGUGGGUGGCAAGGACCCAAGUGUUUGGACCAUCUUCUGCUGCUUUCCCAGGCACAGUAGCAGGAAUCUGGAUCUGAAACACAGUAGCUGGGACGUGAACCAUUGCUCUGCUAUGAGAUGACAGCGUUGCAAGCAGCAGCUCAGCUGGCUGCACUGCCACACCAGUCCCUACAAGAAUCUAACGAAUUUCAUUUUGUCUUUGUUAAGUUUGUGUUUGAUGCGGGGGUCUGAAGCUCAGAAGGGAAGUCUGAGUUGGAGAAAUGAAUCUAGCAAUUGUGAGCACAUAGUUUCUUAAUGGCAUCAGAAUGGGCAUAAUCACCCAGGAGAAAGUGGAAAAGAACUUAUUACGAUCUGCAUUUUAAACGAGGAGAAAACUGAAGGUGGGGGAGGUUCUGCUACCAGUGAAUGAUGGAAUCAAAAUUCACUCCAAGAUCCACAAGAGUAGCCACUAUUAUUUUUGUGUUGUUGUUAUGGCUGCGAUUUCUUACAGAGGUUAAGGACCUGGCUCAAUUACAUUUCUGUUAAGACCAGCUUAGCACCCUAAACAGCACCGUAACAAUCCUCUGGGAUGAUACUCCAGUGCCCUGGGAAACCCCAAAGCUCUACUUCCCACCUGUCAUUCUAAAGUACUUAUCCUGUCCCGGGAACUCCGGUCCCUGUUCCUUUGCCCAGCACCUAGUUGCUUCUGCCUCUUUGCCAGAUCCUGUGGCCUGGAGCUUCAGGGAGACGCUCUGUCUGGCAUGUUCCCUGCUUUGCCUGUGGAUGCUCACUUCCUGUCCCUUGGCUCCAUCCGUUACUGCCCAGGGGCCAGUCUUACCUCGUGGCUUUGAGAUGUUUCCUGGCUGCCAGAUCCCUAGAGCAGGUGAUGUUUGGUUCUACCAGGUAACCUUUACCUCCCCAUUCUAAGUGAAGGUCCAGUUCUCGGCACACCUGGCUCACAGAGAAGCAAAGUCCUGUUUUGUUGACGUACUUAAG
This 1378-nucleotide long non-coding RNA is filed under the name Oryctolagus cuniculus (rabbit). RNAcentral's name for it is "lncRNA (ENSOCUG00000030629.1)". Lineage: Eukaryota; Metazoa; Chordata; Mammalia; Lagomorpha; Leporidae. The record is from RNAcentral.